UACGUAGGUGGCGAGCGUUGUCCGGAUUUACUGGGCGUAAAGGGCGCGUAGGCGGCCUGUUAAGUCGAACGUGAAAUCCCCGGGCUCAACCCGGGAACUGCGUCCGAUACUGGCAGGCUUGAAUCCGGGAGAGGGAUGCGGAAUUCCAGGUGUAGCGGUGAAAUGCGUAGAUAUCUGGAGGAACACCGGUGGCGAAGGCGGCAUCCUGGACCAACACUGACGCUGAGGAGCGAAAGCCAGGGGAGCAAACGGG
Molecule: ribosomal RNA, 253 nt
Filed under: uncultured bacterium
Lineage: Bacteria
Description: partial 16S ribosomal RNA
Rfam family: Bacterial small subunit ribosomal RNA
Source: RNAcentral